Molecule: long non-coding RNA, 19918 nt
Filed under: Lynx pardinus (Iberian lynx)
Lineage: Eukaryota; Metazoa; Chordata; Mammalia; Carnivora; Felidae
Source: RNAcentral
AUGACAUCAACAAACUAAUCAGGGACACCAAUUCAAUCAAAGUGAGUUCUUAUGAUGUAAAGUCUUCUCCAAGUCUCUACAUCUUCUUGGUUUCCCAUUUUGCAUAAUAAAUGCCAUUAUUAAAGAUAUCCAUUAUGCUCACUCAGAUUUCUUAGAUGUUCUUAAGAGCUUCAGUGAAUUUGUGAUUUAUAAAACAUAAUGUAGAAGUCUUUAUACCUGAGUAAAGCAAGGAACUUAACCACAAAAAAAAAAAAAGUUUGUCUCAAUUGCCAUGGUGAUUUAUGAUAAACUUUCAGAUUUUGGAUAUGAAGCAUCCUUUUUAGGCCAGCUACUUCCUCCAGAGUGAGACCUUGGUAAAGAUAACUAUAAUAUGGUGGCCAAGUGUGGCUAGAAGGUAUUUUGCUCAAGACAGAAUUGCCAUUUUAAUUUUCCAUUUUUUAGUGAAAUAAUUAACACAUUUACACAAAAAUAAUACAAAUAAUUCCCUUUUAUCCUUGACCCAGAUAUCCACAUUUAAUCACUUUUGCCUUACCAUUUUAUCAACGUCAGAACUGUCUUUUGAAGUGAAAUAUGUUGAGAGUUCUUUUACUCUUUCAAAUGAGUAUUUUUAUUGGUGCUCAUUAUUUUUGAAUGGCUAGCAUAAAAAUUACAUUUAGUCAUAAACUGAAUUAUUUUUAUUGACUAUAUCCCUUCAUUAAAUGUCUCAACAUUAACAUUCAGCAAUGAAUAAAAGAGACAAAAUUCCUGUUCCUAAUGAGCUUUUAGUUUUGUGGCAGUUGAAUAUAUAUACAAGGAAGGGUGCCUGGCUGGCUCAGUCAGUGGAGUAUGCGACUCUUGAUUUUGGGGAUGUGGUUUCAAGCCCCAUAUUGGGUGUAGAGAUUACUUAAAAGUAAAAUCUUUAAAAAAAAAAAGAAAGAAACUUGGAAUUCCUUCACGUGAAUGGAAGCUGAUGAAGCUGUUGGGCAUACAUGAGGUGGUCUAAAGAGACAAGUAAGAAAACAAGAGGGCCCAGUCAGCCUUGGGGAAAGACCAACAGAGUUAUUAAAAAAAGGAACAGGAAAAGGGAAAGGAAAGAGAAAGAGAGGGAGGGGAGAGGAGGGAAGGGAAAGGAGAGGGAAAAGGAAAGGGAAAGGGAAAGGAAGGAAGAAAAGAAAUAGAAAUAGGAAGAAAACAAGGACAUGUGUAUGUGUGUAUGUAUGUAUAUGUAUGUAUAUGUAUAGACGUGUGUGUGUAUAUAUAUAUAACAUAUAACAUAUAUGUAUAUAUGUUACUUAUCUUGUUAAGGAGACAUGACCCCCACGUUCUUAAAAUGGACAUGUUACACUCUCUGUUGUGGGAUAAAAAUUAAAAAGUUUAUUUUACAAGGUUAGACACUGUAGACAUUGGGUAUUUACUAGCCUCUCUUGUUUGUCCCAAUUAAGGAAAUUACAAUUUGAAUAUUUGCUCUUAGUAACUCUUUGGCUAAUUAUGUAGAUUAUGUACAAGUUGUAAAAUUAGAACAUUUUAAACUAGGGAUUUUUUUUCUCAUGCUGUCAUCAUUGAUCUGUAAGAUAUGCAGAGAGAAGAACAGUGUGCUUUUAGUCAAGAUUGGUUUGUUUUGCUUUCUAGUACAAAUUGCCUGUACACACAGAGGUCAGCUGGAAAGCAGAUGGCAAAAUCAUGGCCCUUGGCAACGAAGAUGGGUAUGUGUUUGUUUCUUAAAAAAACGAAUUCAGAAAACUUUGUUUUUGUAUGUAUUACACAUUUGAUCAAAAGCUGACUAAUGCCAUCUAUAGUUUUAGUUGGGGUAGUCUAGUUGAAUAUGAUAUUCUGAUCUGUCCUUAAUAUCCUUGAAUGAUCUGGAAGCUCUUUGUAUUUUUGAGAAUGCAAAAUAAGUUGGGUAUUUUCAGUCUAAAGAAAUGUUUGCCCAUUCAGUGUUUCAGCUGUGUUAUGCUUCACAAAAUGUUGGUCUGCACUGAAAUGCAUAAAUCGUCCUUCAUUUUUUUAAACUAAGCCUGGGAAGAAAUGGUUUUUGGACCUCACCAUGCUCUUUCCAAUGUUGAUCCUAAUUACAUAGUCCUAAUUUAGCCAUUGGCUCAUUAAUUCUUUUAGCUUUUCCAUAGCACCGUUUAUUACAAGAGCCUGAUAAACACAACUGCUGCCCAGAGAUUGAUGGGAUUUUUUCAAAGCUGAAUACAUUUGUUUAAAAAAACAACUUUUUGUUUUUGGCUCUCUAUAAGAGAGUGACCUCUGCAGUGAUAGAUAGGGUUAUCCUAUUCCAUUUCACCUUUAGCUGAGUGAUGGAAUGAGGGAGAUACUUGUUUGCAUUAGAUUGUAAUUUGACCAUCCAUCUUUCUUGUCUCAUGGGUUUGUGACUCCAGAUCAAUAGAAAUAUUUCAAGUUCCCAACCUGAAACUGAUAUGUACCAUCCAGCAGCAUCACAAGCUUGUGAAUACCAUUAGCUGGCAUCAUGAGCACGGCAGUCAGCCGGAGCUGAGCUAUCUGAUGGCCUCUGGGUCCAACAAUGCGGUCAUUUAUGUGCACAACCUGAAGGCUGUCAUAGGUAACUUUGCUUUCUUACAUCCUGGGGCCAUAUGUGUUCAGCUAUUCUGCAUUCCAAGUUUUGUACCUUUUUACUUAUUUUUUGGUAUUAAAAUGUUAUUCUUAUUGUUGCUUCUGCUUUCAAAAGUAAUAUAUUCAUCUUACUUAUAAGACAAAAAUUUCAAACAUGACAAAAAGGUUAACUUAAAAAAUGAAGUUCCUCCCAUAAUAACAUCCCUCAGUCAUAACCAGCAUGAUUAGUUUGCUGAAUGUUUUCUCCAGUUUUUUUUUCAGUAUUGUUACUGCUGGGCACCUGGGUGGCUCAGUCUGUUAAACCUCCAACUUUGGCUCAGGUCAUGAUUUCGCAGUUCUUGGGUUCAUGCCCCGUGUUGGGCUCUGUGCUGACAGCUCAGAGCCGGGAGCCUUCUUCGGGUUCUGUGUCUCCCUCUCUCCAUGCCCCUCCCCUGCUCGCUUGUGGUGUCUCUCUCUCUCUCUCUCAAAAAUAAACAAACAUUUUAAAAAGUUUUUUAGUAAAAUAAAAAUAAAAAAAAUAAUAGAGUAUUGUUAUUGCUAAGUGGCUCCAAAAAGAUUGUGCCAGUUUAUACCCUCUUCCUUCAGUGUUUGAGUAUUUUACACACACAUCCCAUUCCCAUGUUUGACUGUAUCUAAUUCUCAUGGUCCUGUGAGGUAGACUGUGUUAGCCACAUUUUCCUGAUGUUUAAAUUGAGGCCCAGAGAAGUUAGCUUAACUUCCUAAAGUCCCAUAGCUAGUGUGGAGGGGAGCCUAGAUUCAAGCCUGAUUGCAGAACCUAUGUGUUCUGGUAAGUACUAUUCCUGCCUAGCAGGUUGAUCUUUUUCACAUUUCCAUGACUUAUUCCUUAAGGAGUCUUUGACCCUUCUCAGCACCCACAAAAACCAUAAUAGGUGGUUAGAAGAGCCCUUUUUUUUAAUACAAAAGAAGUGCGAUUACUUCUUUCCUAAUAUGAAGAAAUUAUAAUCUGACACUGUGCUGUUUGAAGAGUAGUGCCAAGUAUGUGCUGUGAAAAUAGUGAAAACAGUUGACAUUUUCAUUUUCUCUAGAAUUUCCAGUAGUUUUCUGAGAAUCCUUAUCUGUAACAACAAAAAAUGAUUCUAGCAGCGGUUCUCUCAAGUUAAAAGCAAAUGGAAAACUAUUAUAGACAGAUUUUCCUAACAAUAAGUAGUAGACAGUGUGUAACUAAUGAGCAUGAUAUGUUAGAAAGCUUAUCCUGGUCUUUAUCAUUAUUAUCGGGAUGCCAAGUUAAGCAUCCACUUCGGCUGAGGGCAUUGACUUAAUUCCUCAGAGCAAUGCAGAUCUUUGUCUACUUUAACACUAAUAUCUUAGCUUGUUUUUUAUUUUUUAUCUACUGAAUAAUAGAACAAGAAAAAAAGUUGGCCAGAAUCAAUAUCCCUUUCAGACUGGGAACUCUCAUACUCUUGUUCAAACGUUCAACAGCUAUUAACAUUUUGUCAUAUUUGCUUGGUUUUUGUUUUUGUUUUGUUUCAUUUUGUUUUGUUUUGUUUUUUGCUUUAAAUAUUUCUUUCAGGGAGAGGACCCCACACUCCUACUCAGUUAAGGGAAGCAUUUUUACAGCCUUAAGGUCUUUUAUUUUUUUUAUAUUUACCAUGCCAUGAAUUCAUAUGGAAUGGGUUCCAGCAACUCAGACUCCUUUCCGCUGGUCCUCACAGAGUGUGCUUCUCUGGGUGGGGCAGGCUGGUGCUUCAGUUGAACCCAAGUACCUUUCUCCUUGGCUUCUUACUUUUUCUGAUCAUUUUCCUUCACUGCUUCAGGAAGCUAUCUUGGCUCUUCGAGUGCUUUAUAUGCUCAAUACAUACAUUAGUUCUCUUGGCAAGAAUCUUGUCCUUGUUUGUUUACAAUAAUGCCAAAAGCAUGCUGGGUAACACCAUAGGCUCUUCCAGUUUUGCCAUGGUAAAAUUUGUGUGGCAUUCCUUUUUGAACAGUGCCUAUUCCCUUGAUGUCCACAGUAUCACUUUUCUUGUAGAUUAACAUGUAUGUGGCCAAAGGAACAACUCCAAGUUUUCUAAAAGGCAUAGGGAACAUACAGCGAGUACCUCUCGUCUUUCCCUUUGUGUUGGUCCUUGUGGCAAAUUAUUAGAAAAUGGCAGUUCUGGCUGAAAGGGAUAAUUGCUGCUUGGUUCUCUAUGUGUCUGUGUAUGUACUUUUCCCAAACCUUUUGUGUUGAAUGCGUCAUUCUCUCCAUGUCCCUUAAUAUUUGUGUAUUUUGUAAGAAUAAGGAUAUUCCCUUACAAUCCACAAUUCCACUAUCAACUUGAGUUAAUUUAACAAUAUACAAUGGCUUAAUCUAUCAUCCAUAUUCUAGUUUUGUUGAUUGAUCCAAUAAUAUCCUUUAUAUCUAGAAUAGUUUCUCAGCCCUUUUUCAUUUUUAAACUGUAUUUAUUUUUGAGAUAGCACACGCGUGAGCAAGGGAGGGGCAGAGAGAGAGAGGACAAGGAGAAUCCCAAGCAGGCUCCACACUCAGCAUGGAGCCCAAUGAGGGGCUCAAUCUCAUGACCAUGAGUCAAAAUUAAGAAUCGGAUGCUCAAUCGAGCCACCCAGGCGCAAAGUCCAACAUGAGGCUUGGUCUCAGGAGCUGAGAGAUCAUGACCUGAGCCAAAAUCAAGAGUCAGAUGCUUAACUGACUGGACUACCCAGGAGCCCUACAGCCAUUUUGUUUUUAAUCUUUGAAGAAUAUUGCCCUGUUAUUUUGUAGAUGCCCCCUUAAUCUGGUGUUUUUCUUAUAGAUUCAGAUUAUAUAUCUUUAGUUACCAUAAAAGUGAUGAUACAUCCUCCUUGGUACCAUAUGCAAAAGGUAUUAUUUUCACUUUGGUGGCUUUUGAAAAGACAAAAUGACAGCUAACAAUGCAGUAAACCCAUAUGCCAAGCACUGUGGACAUGCCCACAGUCUUAACCAAUAAAUAACAUUGCCUGCUGAAAGUCAUCUAGAAAGCAUAUGGCAAAAUCUUGACUCUCCACAAUAAUACCUUCCUCUGGGUCUUUUUGUUGUUGGCUGUUGGUAGAAAUGUCAUCUUUCCCUUGUCUCUUAGAGAGCAAUCCUGAAUCUCCAGUGACCAUUACAGAGCCCUACCGGACCCUGUCAGGGCACACAGCCAAGAUUACCAGUGUGGCAUGGAGCCCACAUCAUGAUGGAAGGCUGGUAUCUGCUUCCUACGAUGGUACAGCUCAGGUACUAUUGUGUUCUUGAUUCUGUGGGUUCCUCACCACAUACUCUAAUUUGAACUCUUUCCUCUUUUCCCCCAGUUGUGUACAUUCUUUUCCUCACCAUUAUCUUGUACAGAAAGGGAUAUUCUGUACAAGAUAUUCUAGAAAACAUCCCACAUAUCUGGGACUUUGGCAGGCUAAGAUUGUUUUUUGGGGGGUUUUGGGGUUUUUUUUUUUACUUAGAUGAAAGGGAAAGUAUUGAUAGGGAACUAGCUAAAUUCUAGUAUCUUUUAAGAUUUCAUUCUUACUGUCAUAAGAUGGGCUAAAUUGAUGUGAGAAGUACCUGUUCCUGUCUUAAACACAAAAUGGCUAUAAAUCAUGAACAAUUUUUUUAAUAAUAAAUUGUAAGUCAGAAAUCUUCAGGUUGGAAGAAAUAAAAGUGAGAUGCCAAGCCUGAGCUAUGAGAUAGGACUUUCAGAUAUCAGAACCAGAAUAGACAUUAGUAACUAGAGAGCUAAUAAUCUCUGUGAUGGAUGUCAGUCUCUGUUGAGUUGUAAUUGAGUUAUCUGCACAAACCAAGAAGCCAUGAAGGGCUGCCCUCUGUGAAAUGGAGACUGGAGUAAUUCAAGAAACAGUAAGGAAAUUGAUCAUUUGCCAAGAAAUGGGGCAGAAGAAUCACCUGCAAAAAAUUAGAACUGUAAGCAUGGACUACACAUGCAGCUGUGAGUUCUGAAUUAGAAUUCUCAUGACACAGGAAAUACGAUUUCUGAAAUUUGAACACCUAAGAGGAAAUAAUAAGUCAUAAGACUAAACAAGAGUACACAGAUUUGUUUAAAUCUUUUUAAAUUUAUACCUGCUCCCCAAAGCAAUAGAAUAACCAAAAAUUAUCUAUGCUGUCAUGUGGCUUUUGGUUUUAGGUGUGGGAUACUCUCAGAGAAGAGCCUCUGUGCAACUUCCGAGGACAUCGAGGUCGACUGCUUUGUGUGGCAUGGUCCCCACUGGAUCCAGACUGCAUCUACUCAGGGGCAGAUGACUUCUGUGUGUACAAAUGGCUCACUCCCAUGCAAGAACAUUCUCGGCCUCCUCAAGGUCAGUCAGAACUGGGAGCCCAUAAAUGCUUGCCUACUUCCCUUUCUCCCUACCUCAGUAACUAAGUUGAUCAGGCUCAAGCAAAGAGGACAUUCAUGUAGGGCUCUGUAAUGGUCACUGGAGAUUCAGGAUUGCUCUCUAAGGUGGCAGCAACACCAUGGCACGGGUUGCUUUCCUAAUCAAGGAAGGCAGCCAUGAGGGGCCUAAGGACAACAUCCAAAUAGUGUCGAGUAGACCUAUGCCCACAUCUUGGUUUCUAGAUAGCAUUCUCUGUUAAGAGAGACUAACCAGGGCUUCUUGGAGAAAUGGCUAAUUUCAGGUUGAGGCAGGAAAAAUACAAGAUGGGCCUGGCACAUCAUCCAAUGCCACAAAGGAAGGAAAUGUCCAAAGAACUGAGAUCUGUCAAGAGGACAAAGAAGCCAGCUUGCAGGGGCUCCCACUAACCAAAUCUGAGACAGUCUGAACUUGAAAAUAAUGAACAGAAGAACUCCCUGGCUAGCAAAGAUUAACUGAUACCAGUUAUAUAUUAAACAACUAAAAAUGUGCCUAAAUAAAUGAAAUGAUCUAUCCACAUGAUGAUUUGUAAAAAAAAAAAAAAAAAAUGCUCAUGGUAGCUUUAUCUGUAAUCAACACAAACUGGAAACAACCCACAUGUCAAUUGGCACAGUAAAUACACUGGUAUAUCCCUACAGUGGAAUUAUCAGUACUGUACUAUCAGUACAGUAGUUAUCAGUAACUACUGAUAAACAUAGCAAAAUGUGUGAAUCCCAAAAAAAUGUUCCACUGAACAAAAGAUGCCAGGCACAAAAGAAUGCAUGCUAUGUAAUUCUAAUGUACAGUCAGAAACACAAGUAUCUACAAUAUGAAAUUCUAAAAAGGCAAAACUAUAGUGACAGCAGAUGAGUGACUGCCUGGGACUCAGGAAGGGGGUGCAUCUUACUGCAAAGAGGCAUGAGGAAAUGAGAUAAUGGAAAUAUUUUAUUCGCAGUGGUGAGUUACAUGACUAUACAUCUGUCAAAACUCAUCGAAGUAUUAAAAAGUGGGUAUAUUGUGUUAAACUAUACCUCAAUAAAGACGACUUAAAAAGCAAGGGAUAAAUGCUUUAAAACUUAAAAAAUAAAUAAAUAGUAAUGGAUUAAAACUAACUAGGGGGCACCUGCCUGUCUCAGUCGGUUAAGCAUCUGACUCUUGAUUUAGGCUCAGGUCACGAUCUCACAGUUCAUGAGUUUGAGCGCCGCGUCGGGCUCUGCGCUGAUCACGCAGAGCCUGCUUAGGAAUCUCUCCCUCUCUCUCUGCUCCUCCCCUGCUCAUUGUUGCUGUCUAAAAAUAAGCAAAUGAACUUAAAAAUUAAAGAAAAAUAGGAAUCCAUGAGUCCCUAUUGGGAGGGGUGGGGAAUGAAGGUCUAAAUAAACGGGGAAACAAAAGCUCUUUACAGAAUGCCAACUAAUGAAUGUAGAAUGAAUGAUGGAAUUAGAAAAUUACCAUUCAGCCAUCAUAGUAACAGUUUUUUGUCAAGAAACAUCGGUGGAUAGUAAAACUAGUGGACGCAAACUUAUUAAUUACAAAGGGAAAAUAAGUUUUCAGGGAGAAACCUGCCCCCUUAAUCUAGUGAUGGAAGUAAACAAAUAAUGAGACAAGUAGAAACUAUGUGCUACCCACUGUGUUACAUUGACAGCAUCACUCCUAUGCAUUCCAACCCCAAAUGUAAAACCUAAAUUUAAUCAUAGCAGACAUCAGGCGGUGGGGGAAAUCAACAAAAUAACAGCCCUGUAAUCUUAAAAGUUUCAAGUCAUGCAAAUUAACAGGAAAACGAGCCUCCUCCAGACUGAAGGAAACUAGAGAGAUGUAACAAGCAAGUUCAUCAUGUAAUCCUGGAUUGAUUCCUUUUGCCAUAAAAGACAUUCUUGGUACAACUGGCAGAACUUGAAUACAGUCUGUGGAGUAGACAGUAGUAAUGCAUCGAUGUUAAUUUCCUGAUUUUCUUGGUUGUGUUGUGGUAAUGUAGGAGAAUGUCCCUGUGUGUAGGAUACACACUAUAAGUAUUCAAGGAUAAUUGGGCAUCAUAUUCAUGGUUUAAUGAAAUCCUAAAAGGGUUUGGUAUGGUUAACUUUUUGAUACUCUAACUCUAAAAAUUCAUGGGGAAGGAAGAGAAGUGGUGAGAAUACUAUCAAAAAAAAGAGUGAGGACGUUUUAGAGAUUGUCUCCUAGAGUGCUUUUAACCAAGAAUCUGUACUUUACCUUUUGUCUUAAUCGCGAUACCUCUAGGUAAGAAAAGUAUUGAAUUAGAGAAAAAAAGGCUCUCUCAACCUAAGCCAAAGCCCAAAAAGAAGAAAAAGCCCACCUCGAGAGCUCCUGUAAAGCAGGAUGUGUAUGACGGAAAUGAAGACGAGAGCAUCAGGGAGAGCUCGGGACCUGUUGAGAACGGUCUGUCGGACCAGGAGGGUGAGGAGGAAGCCCGGGAGCCAGAGCUACCCAGUAGCAUCAUCUCAGUGGGUAUGUGGCCAAAUCCUGUGUUUCGUGGACUCUCUAGGACUUGAUAGUCAUGACCAGGAAACUAAGCCAGGUCCUUACUCAGUUUGAAAUUUCUCUGUCUCUGACCUAUGUAUUGUCCCAUCUCUGUAACUUAAACUGUAUCUUUGGUGCCGUUAGAAACUCCAUUCAUUUCUUAAAAGGUUAUCUUAAGCCUCUAAACCCCUUUGAAGUGGUAAAGUGGAUCUGGUGGAAGACUGGGAUCGAAAUAGUGAAGGUCUUUAGAAAAAACUUCUUAGCACCUUGGGCAGGAUAAGACUGUGGGGCAAAGUGAAACCAGGGCAGUUUACUCAUAGAAACUGACAUGGGAAAAGUUUUCACAGUAUCACAUCUAGCCACAGUUAUUGAAAGAAACCACUGCCCCUUACCAGCAUCUGACCUAGAAGCUACCGCCACCCUGGGAAAAGGUUAGGAAAAUAAAGAGCUAAAGGCUUAAUGGAUUUAUUUUUUUAGGCUCAUCAAAACGCCUUUAUAUCACAAAAUGGUUGUACAAAAUGUUCUUUACCCCUGUAGACCAGCCGCUGGGUUGUUUUUUUUUAAAGUUCAUGGUUGUGUGUGCUCAGGACUGUGACUCCAUAUCACAUACCCUUAAUAAUUUCUAUUAGUAAAGUUGUUCCUUGUUUGUGUAAUUAAAUAUAUACACUUAAUACUUUGUUACCUAAAUAUGUAACAAGUCUUUUGUCAUCUGAGCAAGGUUUCAGAAUUCCUGGGCCUAUGGUAUAAAGUUGUGGCAGCUGGAAACUUACAAUUUCUCCUGAGAUCAAUCAGUCAAAGUUCUAAGACUUAGACAUUUUGUGAGGUGGGAAAAGGGAGACUACCCAUGUUUCCUUUUGAAAGUAUUUUAUCUCAUGUUAUGGAAUACAUAAAUAAUAUUAAGCCUGGUUUAGUUCUAUAUCAUUAAAAAGAACUAGACUCUAUAUUGUUCUCCUCCAAACUUUUUCUUUAUCUCCUAUGAUACAGCUUCUAGAGAACCAGUUACCUGCACUCCGGUUUCCAUAGGUUUUGAAAAGUCAAAAAUCACUGUUAACAACAAAGUCACAAUACUGAAAAAGGAGCCACCUAAAGAGAAGUCAGGUUGGUGUCUAAUGGUUAAAGUAUUUUGUUAAAGCAUCCUCAAAUAUUACAUGCAACUGAAAACAGUCAAAAAUGUUUGGUUUUUAUUGUUGUUGGUUGGUUAUUAGGAUUUUUGUUUGUUUCUUGGGUUUUAAAUGUUUGUGUUUUGAUUAUUUCAAUUUUGGGUCAUGCUUUUAAACAUUUUUAACACUUAAACAAUUUUAAACAUUUUUUUAACGUUUUCAUGAGGAAGUGUCAUUUUGCAACUGUUGAUAAUGCUUCACAGGGGUUCACAGGGGCGUGUUGUGUGUGUUGUACACACUGCCCCCAGCUAACUUAACCUGAAAGCUUCUUCAUAAGUAGCAAAUUUUCUGAUGACCGGCAUUAUCCCUCCAGUAGGUUACAAUCGCACAAUGGCCAUCCCGUUUGUGAUUCUGAUCAGCUCUUCUUAGACCAUCUAUAUUUUUAUUACAUUUCAGAAUCCAUAACCAAGAAGCGAAAAGCUCGUUCCAUGCUUCCACUGACUACCAGCCUGGACCACAGGUCUAAAGAGGAGCUUCAUCAGGACUGUCUGGUAUUAGCAACGGCAAAACACUCCAAAGGUACAAAAAUACACUCCCUUGGCCCAUCCAUAGUCUUCUGGGAACUAGCACAUAAGAGGCGCUUGCUUGUAUAUUUGUUGAAUGAAUGAGCACACAAAUGUCUAGAGUUGUGUAUAUUUCUAAAUUCUUUUCCAACCUUCCAUCCCCCCCAUGGCCCCACCGCCAGGCUCCCCCGUGCCUUUGCAAUGUAGUGCUCUGGCUUAUUGUUCUAAAUCCAGUUGUCACCAACCAUCUAUGUGCCGGAAUUGGUAUGAUGGCUUAAAUACCUCAGCAUGAAUCAACUCCUUCAACUACUUUUCCCCCAGGAAAACAGUAUCUUCAAUUAGAAAAAAAGAGUAUUUCCUUGUUGGAAAUAUACCCAUAAUAUGGCAGUUCCUUUUUUUGGAUUUGGUGGAAGUUUUUGUUAUAGAAAGUUUUUUUUAUUUUACUUUUGCAAAGCUCUCAUUUAAGGCCCAUUAUUUUGAUAUUUGAACAGCUAUAUUUUUUUGAAUUUUACAUGUUGAAAAUAGAUACACAUGAUAAAAUGAAAUUCUGAGCUUCAAAAAGAAUGUAAAUCCCCAUCCCACCCCGAUACCCAAUCCUCACUGACCACACUGUUAACAGUUUUUGUCUCUCUCCAGAAAUAUUUUAUGCUCUUCUUACAUACAUAAGCCUCUUUUGGGGACUUUAUCUUGACUUCCUAUAACUUACACACUUUAUCAUAUAGCUUUACAUUAUUAACUUUACUGGAAAGUUACUCAGUUGACUUUUUAAAAACCAGAAUGAUUAUUGAAUCCCUUUGUGGUGGGUCCUAGUAAAUGUUAAGGACAUUUCUUGUUGGGAUUUGAGGUUGGCCUUUUUUUUUUUGAGGCAGAGGAGGGGCAGAGAAAUAGGGAGAGAGAGAAUCCCAAGUAGGUUCCACACUCAGCAUGGAGCCCAGCGAGGGGCUCAAUCUCACAACCGUGAGACCACUGCCUGAGCAGAAAUUAAGAGUCAGACACUCAAAUCGAGCCACCCAGGUGCCCCUGGGGCUAGCUUUUUACAUCCUCUUUCACCCCUUCCCCAUCUUUAUUUGAGCAAACUGCAGACUAAAUUGUCUCACUGGAUUUUGCCAAGGCUGAGCUUUAACACAGUGUUUUCAUGUUUUGCUACCCUUGUAACCAGGAGGGGUCUCUGUUAGGGUAAACAAGGGCACAGGACUUCUCUUCACUGUCUGAAAUGGGUCGUCUGGACACACAUUUGGAAGUAAUUGGACAGAAAACAGUAACCUCAUUUUCUUGUCUUUUUGAAUUCGCAGAGCUAAAUGAGGACGUGUCUGCUGAUCUUGAGGAAAGAUUUCACCUGGGACUUUUCACAGACAGGACUGCCCUGUACAGAAUGAUUGAGGUUGAAGGUGAGGCAAGUCCAGUCAACAUAACCCAGUCUGUCUCCAUGCUUCCCUAAUACUUUGUACACACCUGUUUUAUGGCUGCCAUCCUGUGGCAUCAUACUGGUUGGUUUUACAUUUCAACUAACUAGGUUUUGAGUUCCCCAAUCUGCAUAUUCCCAUAUACCCCUUGCAUCUCUCAUAGGACCCUAAACAUACAGUGUUCACUCUGAGUGUAAGUGAAAAUGAGUGGGUGGACAAGGGACUGAGUGGGCUUUAAACCACAUUAUGAACACUCUGAGAGAUGACUCACCCAUCAGCCAGCAACAACAUAUUACAGGAAUUUGUUCCCCUCUUUUCAUCCUGACUUUCCUUCUCUUAAAGUCUGUGCAGACAGGUUUCUGAAACAUCUUCCCAACAUUAUGUCUCCUCCAAACAGGAAAGGGUCACUUGGAGAAUGGCCACCCUGAGUUAUUUCACCAGCUCAUGCUUUGGAAAGGAGAUCUAAAAGGUGUUCUUCAGACGGCAGCGGAAAGGGGGGAGCUGACAGACAGUCUUGUGGCUAUGGCACCAGUUGGUAUGUUCUUCUCGACAAAAGGGCUGUCAUCUUGAAGAUAAGUCCACUAAAGAUGGACACUCUCUUGCAGGACAAUUUGGCCAUGUCUAAAAACUUUAACUCCGCAAUUCUAGGUGUUGGAAAUUAACUGUACUCACACAAAACUGUACUUGCAAAAUGACAAGUAUACAGGCACUGUCAUUACAGCAGUGUUUGUCAUAGCAAAAGACCACAGGAACCUCUCUGUCCAUCAGUAAGAGACUGGCUAAAUCUCAUACCUCUACAGUAGAAUCUCUUGGGAAAAAUUAGGCAGCUCUUUGCAUUCUAGUAUGGAAUGAAGCUCCAAAAGCGUAGUAGGGAGAAGACUCAAGAUGUUGAUACAUGACAAUAUUUACUACUCUGUCAUUUAUAUUUGUCUUCACAUAGUAUUUCAAAAAGGUUUCAAAAGAAAUUAGAAAUAAUGGUUGUCUCUAGGCAAAGAAAUUUGGAUGAGUUUGGGUGGGAGGACACCAGAAUAACAAGGUAAAUUAUGCCAUGCCCAGUUUUUAACUUUAUUCAAGUAUACUUUAAAAAAAAAAAAAGAAGUACACAGGUUAUGAUGGCACAAACUGAAUACACCCUUGUAACCAGCACCAUAUCAAGAAGUAUAACACUGCCAGAAAGCACCUAGGAAGCUUCACUCAUGCUCCUGUUCAUUCAGUCUCCACACACCCCAACAAGGCUAAUCACUGCCCUGACUUCCAUAUUCUCUUGUACCUUUUGAAUUUUGCAUUAUUUUUUAUGUGUUAGCUAAUCAAAGAGAAAAAAAUUUAUGUUUCAAAACAUGGGUAUAGGGCGAGUAAAUGAAGCAGAUAAUCUGUAAUGAUAACUGAAUUCAGAGUAUCUAAAUGCUCUACUUAGUGCAGUGACUAAAACCAAGGUGUUUUCAUUCCAAAUGUAGAUUCUUUUUUUCCUUACCCCUGCUGCUGCUUAUUCAACCGUCAUUUUUUUUUUUUUUUUUAGCUGGCUACCAUGUGUGGCUGUGGGCCGUGGAAGCUUUUGCCAAACAGCUGUGUUUUCAAGAUCAGUACGUUAAGGCUGCCUCUCACCUCCUUUCUAUCCACAAAGUAUAUGAAGCUGUAGAGCUGCUCAGGUCAAACCACUUCUACAGGUUUGUAGGACCCUACAGUUGAACCACCAGUUGGGCACAGUGUGGAAUUAAUCUGCUGACCGGUGCCACUUAACGAUAACCAGCAGAAAUCUUGGUUGUAAUUAAACAUUACAGACGUACAGAAAUACAUGCACACUAGCCUAACAAACACCAGUGUACCCACUACCCAUACUUAACAAGCGUUAACUUCGAUCAGUAUUUGCCACUGAUCUUUUUCAGAAUUUCUUUAUCCCUAAAGUUGCAAGCAUAGAGAAACCGUGUAAUACAAAAGAGAUGGGAUCUUGUCAGCCACCCCAAAAGCUCCCCAUGUCCCCGACUGUUGUUGUUUUUAAGUAUAACACUCCAGAUUUGACUGAAUUGCCUUUCUCCAGUUCUGUCCUCAUCCUUUCUCUAAGAAGCAACCAUUCUGCUGAGAUUGGUUUGAAUCCUUCCUCUCCAAGUUACUACACUUUCACUAUAAUACAUUUGUAAGUAAUGACAAACAAAAGGAGUAAAAUAUUUCUUAUAAACAGCAUACAGGUUUUUUUUUUAUCCAUUCUGAUGGUUUCUGUCUUUUAAUUGGAAUGGUUAGGCCAUUUACAUUGAAUAUAAAUAUUGGUGCAAUUAAAAUUUACCAUCUUGCUAUUUUGCUUUCUUUUGGAUUACUUGAAUAUUUUCUUAUCUCCAAUCCUGGCUUAUUAGCUAUACUCUAUUUUAUGGUUGCUUUAGGGUUGAUGAUGAUUAGCAUGUUUUUUUAAUUUUUAAGUUUAUUUAUUUAUAUUGAGAGAGAGAGAGAGAGAGAGAGAGAGAGAGAGAGAGAAUAUCCCAAGCAGGCUCCACACCAUUAGCACAGAGCCCAACGUGGGGCUCAGACCCACAAACCAUGAGAUCGUGACCUGAUCUGAAACCAAGAGUCAGGCAUUUAACUGACUGAGCCACCCAGGCGCCCCAUGAUUAGCGUUUUUAAUUUUCACAGUUUACUUUCAACUAAUAUUGUCCUACAUCUUAUAUAAAACUUAUUUCUUUCCUUCCCUCCUGUCCUUUCUGCUACUUACUUGUCAUAUAUUUGACAUGUUAUAGCCCCACAUUACAGUGUUAGAAUUUUUGCUUUAACCUGUCAUCUUUUUAAAUAACUUUUUAACUUUAAAACUUUUUUUAGGGGCGCCUGGGUGGCGCAGUCGGUUAAGCGUCCGACUUCAGCCAGGUCACGAUCUCGCGGUCCGUCAGUUCGAGCCCCGCCUCAGGCUCUGGGCUGAUGGCUCAGAGCCUGGAGCCUGUUUCCGAUUGUGUGUCUCCCUCUCUCUCUGCGCCUCCCCCGUUCAUGCUCUGUCUCUCUCUGUCCCAAAAAUAAAUGUUGAAAAAAAAAAAUUUAAAAAAAAAAAACAAAACUUUUUUUAUAUCACCCACAUACUUAUUUCUAGCAUUUUUCAUUCUCUUACGUAGGUCCAACGUUCCAACUGCUAUCAAUUCCUUCUUCACCUGAACAAGAAUUUCAUUUUUUUUGUAGUGUGAUUCUUCUGGUGACCAAUUCCAUCAGCUUUUGUUUGUCUAUAAAAGUCUUUAAUUUUGCCUUCAUUUUAAAGGAUCUUUCUCUGGGGGUAGAAUUCUAGAUUGGCAGUUUUUGUCUUUCAGGGCUUCAGAGAUGACUGUUUACUCUUACAUUGUUCUUGACUUGACUGCAUCUAUUCCCAUCUUUGUUAUAUAGGAACUGUCAUUUUUUUCUCACUGUUUUUAGAACUUUCUCCAUCACUGAUUUUCAGCCAUUUGAUGUGAUGGCUUUGGUGAGACUUUGUCUUUUUCCUGUUUUGGUUUGUCUUCCUCUGAAGGGUGUUGAACUCUGUUUUAGUGAGCACUAAAGUUGCUAAUAGAACAGCUUGAUCUUUUCAUGGCUUGUUUUUAAGGUUUCUUAGAACAGGUUUAGAGAAAUCUUUUUUUGUUUUUUUAAGUUUAUUUAUUUUGAGAGAGAGAGUGCGCAGGAGAGGCAAAGAGAGAAUCCCAAGCAGGCUCCUUACUGUCAGCGUAGAACCCAACGUGGGGCUUGAACUCACGAACCGUGAAAUCAUGACCCGAGCCAAAAUCAAGAGUUGGACACCUAACCGACCGAGCCACCCAGAGAAAUCUAUAUUCUAGAAUUAGUUUGUCCUUCUACCUUCUGGUGUCUUUACUGAAUGCCUGUGUGUUCAACAAAUCAGAACUCAAAUGUCUGGCUGGUCAAAACACUGAAGUCCCCUAUGCCCUGAGUGAACUCUGGGAAUUAUUCAGCUUAUAAUUCCCUGAUUGUUCUUUAUGCAGCCUUAAGGAAUGUCCUACACAUGCAUGGCUUUGUGUUUAGCCAAAGACUCAUGAGAUCCCCAAACAGAGUUCUGUAGGGCUUCCCCUGGAUAGCUUCUUCCUUCCUAUUAUCCUGCCCCUCAUAUUCCAAUUAUUUUGUCUCUCCUCCACUCAGUAAGACUGCUGGGGCUCUGCUGGGUUCUCUAUAGGAAAAUGGCUAUUAGGAGGUUCCCUUCUCUCGGGGAUAACAAUCCUGAGCUGCAUGGAUCCAAUGUCUGAAAACAGUUGUUUCAUACAUAUUUUGUCUAGUUUAGCGGCAGGAGGGUAAGUCUGGUAAGUUGAUGUCUCAAAAUACUUCUUAAACAUUGCUCUGCAUAGAUCACCUUAAUCUAAAAUACUUUUAUUCUAGCUACAACUUUAUGUUGGCUACAACUCAGAAGUUGUAGGUCAGUUGAAAAUAUUAGCUCACUGAAUUAUACAGAUACUCCAGAUGUUAACACAUUUCAUUAUAAAAUAUCCAGAAACAUUCACAUUCUUAAAUAUCACCAUCAGUCUCUUCAGAAAAGUCUUUAGCAUUUGGGAAGCUAUCUAGCCCACAGUGGCAGGCAUAGAUUUUCUAAAAUUCUCAUUUUCACUUGAAAGCUCAAAAUUUAUCAUUGGCAAAAAUACUAUUGGUUGUCAAGUGACAGACUUGGGGAUCCCCAGGAAUCCACAGACCACACGUUAAGAACUGCUGACCCAGGUGAAGAAUUGAGCUCAGCAUGUGGUUUUAACUUCCCACGUGGGGUGCCUGGGUGGCUCAGUCGAUUGAGCGUCCGACUUUGGCUGGUCAGGUCAUGAUCUCAUGGUUCAUGGUUUCAAGCCCCGAGUUGGGCUCUGUGCUGAGCUCGGAGCCUGGAGCCUGCUUCAGCUUCUGUGUCUCCCUCUCUCUCUGCCCCUCCCCUGCUCACGCUGUCUCUCUCUGACUCUCAAAAAUAAAUAAAUGUAAAAAAAAAAAAAAAAAUUUAACUUCCCACAUAGUGCAGGAAAAUGGUUUUGUACAGGAAGUUGGAACAGUAUAAACAACACAAGAGGGACAGUUUAUCCUAUCUUCCAGCCUUUUCAAAUUGGCUUUUUAUCUGUUCUGGCCUCUAGGGAAGCUAUUGCAGUUGCCAAGGCCCGACUGCGCCCAGAAGACCCGAUCCUGAAGGACCUGUACCUCACCUGGGGAGCCAUCCUGGAAAAAGACGGCCAUUAUGCUGUGGCCGCCAAAUGGUAAGCUGGAGGGAACAGGCAUGUACCCAAACAUUGAAGAGCUGUGAUGCAGAAGAGCAGGACGAGAGUAGUAAGUUUAGAGGGGGAGGUAAAGUGACUAGAAAACAAAAAGCCUUAUGUGUAUUAAACCUAGCUUCAUAAGAUUCAUCGUCCUUGAAUGAAUCCUUUAUAUAAACCACCUCCCUUAUAUAAAUCACCAUAACUACUGAAGAAACCUCAGUAGCAGACUCAGAAAUUCCACCUUUCUCUAGUAAUGUCUUUACUAUCAAAUAAGGAAACUGGGAGAGAAUAAAAACUCUAUUUGGGUUCAGUUCAGCAAAUGUAUGUCCUUACCCUGUAGGAUGCUGCCACUCAUUCUCUAUGUUGAGAUGGAAGAGGGUAUAGGAGAUCUGUUCAUGACACUUUUGGGUUUUUGUUUGUAUUACAGCUAUUUAGGGGCUGCUUCUGCUUAUGAUGCAGCCAAAGUUUUAUCCAAGAAGGGAGACGCAGCAUCACUUAAAACAGCUGCAGAACUGGCUUCAAUUGUAGGAGAGAAUGAGUUGUCCUCUUCCCUGGCUCUCAGAUGUGCCCAAGAGCUGCUUUUGGCCAGGAACUGGGUGGGAGCCCAGGAAGCACUGAAGCUACAUGAAAGUCUAAAGGUCAGUCUGUUCUUGUAUCUCCAGAUAUUUAAGAGGGAAAGUCCACAAGUCCUUUUCUAGUCAAAUUCCAAAUGAAUAACCCAGUUGCACAGCUGUCCCAGUUUGGCAGGUACCCUUAGAAGUGUCCAGCAAGCCCUGGCCAUACUAUCCCAUGGAAGUACCAUGGCUUGUCCACUGCCAUAUUCAGAGUAAGAGAUAAUGUAGUCAUUCAUAUUAUUCUCCUUCCUUAUCAAUUUGUGUACAACAUACAUGAGUCGAUUUUAGUCAGCAUAGCCCUGAGCUAGCAGUCUGGUGUUUCUUUAUUGGUGUCAUCAGGUCUUCUUUGAAGAGGGAGAGGAAGGGGAGGAUUUCCAACAGAAAUCAAGGUGCUCCGCCAUAGCAUCACUCUUUAACUAUAAGCCAUAACGAAGUGUGGCGAAAUCAACAUUUUGUUAAAUGUCUGUUUAUCCCUUUCUGGUUAACUAUGAGUAACUCACCACUGUUUUAUUUGACGCAUCAAACUGAGAUUACUUUAAAAGCAUCAGCACUCUCAUUUUCUAAAACACAUAAACAUUUUAGACAGCUUUACUGCUCAGAUACUAACAUGAACUUUGUAAGCUCCCCUCUCCCUAAUAGAGUAACUGGACCUAAAGACAGUUCCUACCUAAAUAUUGAAACCCAAGAAAAAUAGUAGCUUUCUAGGAAAGCUACUUCCUAGCAAAAGUAAUAUGCCCUCAAAGACAGUGUCACUUGGUGUAUUACUUAUAAAAUGACCAAAUCUAAAGAGAUUUUAAUUUAUCCAUAGCAAAAAAAAAAUUCCAGAAUGGUUAUUUAAGCAUUUCUUUUUUCUCUUAAAAAGCAUCCUUAUGAAAGCAAGAAAACCUUUACGUUUAUGCAGAAUGCUGUUCUGGUCAUUGUCAGGCUAUUUGGGCUAAUAUUUUGCCAAGCCGAACUGAGAAAAUACUGUUACAAGGGUAUACGUGAACCUCAUGGCAACUGAAGGUCUUAGCAAAAAGAAAGAUACUUGCUGACUCCUCUGAAGCCUGCUGGGACAUGGCACCCGAUACCUGCCGCAGCUGUCAUAUCUGCACAGCUUAUCUGCUCUAGCACCUUCUGCCCAUUGCACUUUGCUUCUGUAUCCCUUAAUGUAAAGUUUGGACAGGGGGAAAGAACUGGAUGAGCCCAGGCUGUCUUUUCUCAAACUGGGUCAUAAGUCUUAGGUGACUGUCCUGUAUGUGGUCUACACUGCAGUGGACAGGGCUGUAGUUGGGAUUCUGUGUCGUAAAACUAUUUGCUUGGGCUCCAGGCUACCUCCAGGAUUCCUGCAAAGGCAUCUGGAAAAAUGUCUAUUAGAUCACCUCUUUACCCCCCGCCCCCUCACUCAAUGACUCACACUGGCCAGAGGCAGCCCCCUAAAGGGUCUGGUUGCUGCAGAUGCGAUGGGGAACACAGAGAAACUGAGAAGAGCUGUUGAGAUAAUCAGACACUUCCAUUGCCUAACAGUUCCUGUCCUUGUUGUUGGGUUUCAGGGGCAGAGACUGGUGUUUUGCCUUCUUGAGCUCCUGUCCAAGCGCCUGGAGGAAAGGCAGCUUUCGGAGGGCAAAAGUUCUUUCUACAAUGUGUGGGCUGCAGGCACUGAAGGGCCCUUCGUGGAGAGGGUGACUGCAAUAUGGAAGAGCACCUUCAGCCUGGAGACCCCAGAGCAGUACCAGGCAGCAUUACAGCAGCUGCAAACUAUCAAGUACCCAUCUGCUA